This 440-nucleotide ribosomal RNA is filed under the name uncultured bacterium. RNAcentral's name for it is "partial 16S ribosomal RNA". It matches the Rfam family "Bacterial small subunit ribosomal RNA", at positions 338 to 795 of the family's 1533-position model. The record is from RNAcentral.
CCUACGGGAGGCAGCAGUGGGGAAUAUUGCACAAUGGGGGAAACCCUGAUGCAGCGACGCCGCGUGAGUGAAGAAGGAAUUCGUUAUGUAAAGCUCUAUCAGCAGGGAAGAAAAUGACGGUACCUGAGUAAGAAGCCCCGGCUAACUACGUGCCAGCAGCCGCGGUAAUACGUAGGGGGCAAGCGUUAUCCGGAUUUACUGGGUGUAAAGGGAGCGUAGACGGCAGUGCAAGUCUGGAGUGAAAUGCGGGGGCUCAACCCCCGGACUGCUCUGGAAACUGUACGGCUUGAGUGAAGGAGAGGUAAGUGGAAUUCCUGGUGUAGCGGUGAAAUGCGUAGAUAUUAGGAGGAACACCAGUGGCGAAGGCGGCCUACUGGACUGUAACUGACGUUGAGGCUCGAAAGCGUGGGGAGCAAACAGGAUUAGAUACCCCUGUAGUC